Molecule: long non-coding RNA, 325 nt
Filed under: Helianthus annuus (common sunflower)
Lineage: Eukaryota; Viridiplantae; Streptophyta; Magnoliopsida; Asterales; Asteraceae
Description: hypothetical non coding rna
Source: RNAcentral
GGUGGGACGACCAGAUGAAGCCACCGAAUUUCUAUUAUACUUGCUCAAAAAGGGUUUACGCCUUACGAUAUGCAAGUCCUUGUGCUGCUCCAAGCAUAAUUUGCAGUCUUCUUUUCCAUGGAAGAGCUUCAUGAUAUGUACUGAACAGAUGAUCCUCUAAGCUUUUAUUUGGCAUGAACUCGUAGACUAACAGCCGUUGGAUCCCUCGUUCGCCAUCUACCGCACAGUAUCCUAUUAGUUUGACCAAAUUUGGGUGGUCAACCACACCAAGAAAUUGUACUUCAGCUACCCAUUGUUUGUGGCCCUGCAUUUUGCAACAAGAUUA